RNAcentral lists this ribosomal RNA (1236 nucleotides) under metagenome. RNAcentral describes it as "bacterial LSU rRNA". It matches the Rfam family "Bacterial large subunit ribosomal RNA", at positions 1564 to 2808 of the family's 2925-position model. The record is from RNAcentral.
UGAAUACGAGACGCUAAGGCGUCGAAGUAGUGUAUGUCAUACUUCCAAGAAAAGCUUGCACUGUCAUAAGUAAAAAAUGCCUGUACCAUAACCGACACAGGUGGGUAGGUAGAGUAUACUAAGGGGCGCGAGAUAACUCUCUCUAAGGAACUCGGCAAAAUAACUCCGUAACUUCGGGAGAAGGAGUACCUUAUUCUAUAAGGUUGCAAUAACAAGAUCCAAGCGACUGUUUAUCAAAAACACAGGUCUCCGCUAAGUCGUAAGACGAUGUAUGGGGGCUGACGCCUGCCCAGUGCCAGAAGGUUAAAGAAGUCGGUUAGCAUUAGCGAAGCUGGUAACUGAAGCCCUGGUGAACGGCGGCCGUAACGAUAACGGUCCUAAGGUAGCGAAAUUCCUUGUCGGGUAAGUUCCGACCCGCACGAAAGGCGUAAUGAUUUGGAUACUGUCUCGGAGAGGGGCUCGGUGAAAUAGACUUGUCUGUGAAGAUGCGGACUACCUGCACCAGGACAGAAAGACCCUAUGAAGCUUUACUGUAACUUGAAAUUGAAAUUGGACUUUAUUCGCGCAGUAUAGGUGGGAGGUGUUGAUUAUAAUCUUGCGGGAUUAUUGGAGCCAUCAGUGAGAUACCACUCUUGUAAUGUUAGAUUUCUAACUUUGAAUCAUUAUCUGGUCAAAGGACAGUUUCAGGCGGGCAGUUUGACUGGGGCGGUCGCCUCCCAAACGGUAACGGAGGCGUACAAAGGUUUCCUCUGAACGGGUAGAAAUCGUAUCUAGAGUGUAAAGGCAUAAGGAAGCUUGACUGUGAGACCUACAAGUCGAACAGGGACGAAAGUCGGUCUUAGUGAUCUGACGGUACUGAGUGGAAAGGCCGUCACUCAACGGAUAAAAGUUACUCUAAGGAUAACAGGCUGAUCUCCCCCAAGAGUUCACAUCGACGGGGAGGUUUGGCACCUCGAUGUCGGCUCAUCGCAUCCUGGGGCGGUAGUACGUCCCAAGGGUUGGGCUGUUCGCCCAUGAAAGCGGUACGCGAGCUGGGUUCAGAACGUCGUGAGACAGUUCGGUCCAUAUCCGGUGUAGGCGUUAGAAUAUUGAGAGGAGCCUUCUUUAGUACGAGAGGACCGAGAAGGACAUACCUCUGGUGUACCAGUUAUCGUGCCAACGGUAAACGCUGGGUAGCUAUGUAUGGAGUGGAUAACCGCUGAAAGCAUCUAAGUGGGAAGCCCACCUCAAGAUAAG